ACUUUAUAUAUUUCUGUAGCUCAGUUGAUUUAAGUUGUAAAAACUGAUCUAGGGGGUUAUAUUUUGUUGGGGAGAUGUGAGUAUAAAUAACUAUAACUGCUUAAGUUGAAAACAGAAAUAUUUGAGUAGAGGCUGAAUGAUCCUUCUUAAAGAUUAAAAGAUCAAGUU
RNAcentral lists this ribosomal RNA (168 nucleotides) under Metaxanthops acutus. Its description in RNAcentral is "partial 16S ribosomal RNA". Lineage: Eukaryota; Metazoa; Arthropoda; Malacostraca; Decapoda; Xanthidae. The record is from RNAcentral.